UCCCCAGAUCCCGAGCUUAAAAAUACUCUAUUUAAGAGUCCUGAUAAAGGUCCUAUCCCCCUCAUUAUACAAUCUUCAGCAUGGCUUCAGAAAAUCAAGGUCGUGUGAGACACAAUUAAUAGACUUCAUUCAAAAACUAGCACAAUCAAAUAAUAGAAACACACAAAUUGACUUGAUCAUAAUGAACUUCGCUAAAGCGUUGGACAAAGUCUCACAUGGUCACCUUCUUUACAAACUCAAAUUCUAUGGUAUUGAAAAUAACAC
Molecule: long non-coding RNA, 264 nt
Filed under: Mytilus galloprovincialis (Mediterranean mussel)
Lineage: Eukaryota; Metazoa; Mollusca; Bivalvia; Mytilida; Mytilidae
Source: RNAcentral